Molecule: ribosomal RNA, 1092 nt
Filed under: Triticum aestivum (bread wheat)
Lineage: Eukaryota; Viridiplantae; Streptophyta; Magnoliopsida; Poales; Poaceae
Description: partial small subunit ribosomal RNA
Source: RNAcentral
AUGGCGCUCUUCUCUGAUGAUGAUGCGUCCCAAUAUCAAAUUAGGAGCAGCAAGAAUAUGACCUACAAGGUGAGAGGGGACAUGAAGAAGCUCCUCCCAGUCACCACCUUCUUCCUCGGCGCGGCGUUGACAGCGGCGUUGGUCUUCCUCAAUGCUACACUGGAUGGGAACUGGCGGCCCUCCGCCCUGGCCUCAUGGGGCACUGGUACUCAGCCAGCCUCCAACCCCAAGACGAAAGCAUUGACAGAACUGGCAGAGGUGCUGAAGAACGCAUCCAUGGAGGACGGCACGGUGAUCAUGACGUCCAUCAACAAGGCGUACGCUGCUCCGGGGUCCCUCCUGGACCUCUUUCUUGAGAGCUUCCGGGUGGGCGAGGGCACGGCGCACCUGCUGGACCACGUCCUCAUUGUGGCCGUCGACCCCGGCGCGCUCCGGCGGUGCCGGUCGGUGCACCGGCACUGCUACCUCCUCCGUCGCUCCCCGGGCGCCGUGGACUACAGCGGCGAGAAGCACUUCAUGACCAAGGACUACCUGGACAUGAUGUGGGGCAGGAACCGGUUCCAGCAGACCAUCCUCGAGCUCGGCUUCAACUUCCUCUUCACGGACAUCGACAUCAUGUGGUUCCGGAACCCGCUGCGGCACAUCGCCAUCACGUCGGACGUGGCCAUCGCGAGCGACUUCUUCAACGGGGACCCGGAGAGCAUGGGGAACCGGCCCAACGGCGGGUUCCUGUACGUGCGGUCGGCGAACCGGACGGUGGAGUUCUACCGGCGGUGGCGGCGCGCGCGGCGCAGGUUCCCGGCGGGGACCAACGAACAGGAGAUCCUGGGGCGGGCGCAGGGGGAGCUGAGCCGGCGCUCCGGCGUGCGGAUGCAGUUCCUGGACACGGCCCACUGCGGGGGCUUCUGCCAGCUGAGCGGCGACAUGGGCAGGGUGUGCACGCUGCACGCCAACUGCUGCACCGGCCUCGCCAACAAGGUGCACGACCUCAGGAACGUGCUCAGGGACUGGAGGAACUACACGGCGGCGCCGCCCGAGGACCGGCGCGUGGGAGGCUUCCAAUGGACCAGGCCCGGCAGGUGCAUCCGCUGA